AUGUAGAUAUAUUGGAUGUACACGCUCAAAAGUUUUUUUACUGAUAGGGAUGCAUGAUAUAUAGUCUUGUACAGAGGAGGGCUAAUCAGAAACAGCAAAGGAAAUGGGUUGCUUUAGCCCUUUAUAAAAUCUGCCGGAGAAAACACUGUUCCCCUCAACACACGGUGUAUAUUGAGUGUAUGUUGAACCUCUUGUGCGGAGCAAACAAAAUUGGAAAGCUAUUUACAUAAGCGUCUUUACAAUUGCUCAGCAAUGUCUUCCAUUUGCCUUUGGUUAAAAGUAACAUGGGAGGAACACAGUUCCAGAGAUUCUGAUUCAACAGGAGGACAAGUGUAGGCCCAUCCACAGGCACUAUGGAGUGUUAAGAAGUCAGUCCUCAUUUGGAAGAUGAGGAAGACCGAGCGCUGGAGCGUUGAAGCGACUCGGCCAAGGGAACACAGGUAGCUCACUAACCGGGACUAGGACCUUCCCAGACUCUUUUCCCUAUCCGGUGUUCCUUUGGGUAUGUCCUGCUCCCAAAGUGAAAAUCUGGUGCCUGCCCGGUUUGAUAUGAGCAGACGGGAGAAAAGCAACGGAUCCAAAGUUUCAGCUCCAAUCACUCUCCACUUGCAAAAUAUCCUUUUGAGUUUUCUGGUGAGACUAAUGGCCACGUUGCUUUAUAGAGCUAAAGACAAAACGUUAUUGUCGGGUUUGUUAGUGUCACUGGGUUGCUAGGAGAACGUCUGCAAUGGAAUUUAGCACGCAACACUAGCUUUAUUUCCGCAGGACAACCCCGCCAUGUGCAAAGGACGCUGCCUGUGUGCGAGGGGAGUGAAGCGAGGCGUGCCAAGGCCAAGACCAAAACACCACGUGAAAGAGCCGAUUUCCUCCCAGACUUGGCGGGAGAAGACUCCAAGACCAGCACAGCAGUCCCCAAAUCAAAAUAGGACUCUCCUAAUUUUUAAAAGUAGCAACCUGGCCUCAGAUUUGAUUUGCUGGCCUUGGGAACAUCCGCAAGCAAGUGUGGGAGCGGGACGGUAGCUCAAGCACCUUGUUGAUCAGAUGGGUAAGUGCAGACGAGGGUAGCAGAGGUGGGUUACAGAUGAACGGAACAGAUGCUCGCGUGUGAGGUAGGUGACAAUGUGCUAACUGUGUGUUGGAAUCAAGAGCACAUACCGUCUCUUCUAAGCACCAGAAUUCCAAGCGCCACACACUUUCCUUACUUAUUUACAUCUCAGAAAAUAUGCCUCCAAGUGUAAUGUGUGCAUAUAUAUACACAUAUUUUCAGAGUGAGAGAAAAACCGAAAGAAUAAAGGGAGAUUUGACUCACCA
This 1311-nucleotide long non-coding RNA is filed under the name Felis catus (domestic cat). Its description in RNAcentral is "lncRNA (ENSFCAG00000052496.1)". The record is from RNAcentral. Lineage: Eukaryota; Metazoa; Chordata; Mammalia; Carnivora; Felidae.